GGGAAAGUCAGUUAGAAGGCUACCACUAUAAUCUAAUGAGAGGUGAGAAAAAAAAUCAUGUCCAAGUCAAGGCUGGAAACUCAAUCUACUAACUUCCAGUUCAUUGUUCUUUCCAAUAUAACAUACUGCCUCCUUUACAGGGGAGUUCAUCUGGAGUUUUGUUUAAUGCCAAAAUACGAUGAAUGUUGGCUGUGGACAUCUUGUGAUUUUUCUCACAUGGAGGAAGACCUUCGGGAGCAAGGUUCAUCAUGGAAAAAAGUUAAAAGGUCAAAUGAGAAGACAAGAAAUUCAAGAUUUAGACAGGUGACUUUAUUGCUGAGCAUUAUGCUGCUUCUAGAAGUGGUGAGAAAUUGUCACUCUAUGGAUGCAUUUCCUAUGGGCUCACUCUGAUGUUGGAAACCCCAGAAUAUACUGUAAGUUAUGCCAUUAUUAAACACAGAAUCAAUUGUCUACAGAGGGAAAUUGAGAUUGGAG
This 474-nucleotide long non-coding RNA is filed under the name Monodelphis domestica (gray short-tailed opossum). RNAcentral describes it as "lncRNA (ENSMODG00000033516.2)". Lineage: Eukaryota; Metazoa; Chordata; Mammalia; Didelphimorphia; Didelphidae. The record is from RNAcentral.